CCUACGGGGGGCAGCAGUGGGGAAUAUUGCACAAUGGGCGAAAGCCUGAUGCAGCGACGCCGCGUGAAGGAUGAAGUAUUUCGGUAUGUAAACUUCUAUCAGCAGGGAAGAAAAUGACGGUACCUGACUAAGAAGCCCCGGCUAACUACGUGCCAGCAGCCGCGGUAAUACGUAGGGGGCAAGCGUUAUCCGGAUUUACUGGGUGUAAAGGGAGCGUAGACGGUGUGGCAAGUCUGAUGUGAAAGGCAUGGGCUCAACCUGUGGACUGCAUUGGAAACUGUCAUACUUGAGUGCCGGAGGGGUAAGCGGAAUUCCUAGUGUAGCGGUGAAAUGCGUAGAUAUUAGGAGGAACACCAGUGGCGAAGGCGGCUCUCUGGACUGUAACUGACACUGAGGCACGAAAGCGUGGGGAGCAAACAGGAUU
This 424-nucleotide ribosomal RNA is filed under the name uncultured Bacteroides sp. RNAcentral describes it as "bacterial SSU rRNA". It matches the Rfam family "Bacterial small subunit ribosomal RNA", at positions 338 to 779 of the family's 1533-position model. The record is from RNAcentral. Lineage: Bacteria; Pseudomonadati; Bacteroidota; Bacteroidia; Bacteroidales; Bacteroidaceae.